RNAcentral lists this ribosomal RNA (792 nucleotides) under Escherichia coli. RNAcentral's name for it is "partial 23S ribosomal RNA". It matches the Rfam family "Bacterial large subunit ribosomal RNA", at positions 1021 to 1911 of the family's 2925-position model. The record is from RNAcentral. Lineage: Bacteria; Pseudomonadati; Pseudomonadota; Gammaproteobacteria; Enterobacterales; Enterobacteriaceae.
AACAACCCUGACCACCAUCUAAGGUCCCUAAGUUAUGGCUAAGUGGGAAAGGAUGUGAGGAUCCCAAAACAACCAGGAUGUUGGCUUAGAAGCAGCCAUCAUUUAAAGAAAGCGUAACAGCUCACUGGUCUAAAUAAGGGUCUUUGCGCCGAAAAUGUACCGGGGCUAAAGCCAUACACCGAAGCUGUGGAUUCUUUGGAACCUUCGGGUUCCCGGGAGUGGUAGCGGAGCGUUCUGUAAGCCGUUGAAGAGAGACCCGUGAGGGCUCUUGGAGGUAUCAGAAGUGAGAAUGCUGACAUGAGUAACGAUAAAGGGAGUGAGAGACUCCCUCGCCGAAAGUCCAAGGGUUCCUGCUUAAAGUUAAUCUGAGCAGGGUUAGCCGGCCCCUAAGGCGAGGCCGAAAGGCGUAGUCGAUGGGAACCACGUUAAUAUUCGUGGGCCUGCGGGUAGUGACGGAUCGCGUAUGUUGUUCUUCCUUAUUGGAUUGGAAGGGCUUCGAAGCGGUUCCAGGAAAUAGCUCCCGCGUAUAGACCGUACCCUAAACCGACACUGGUGGACUGGUAGAGAAUACCAAGGCGCUUGAGAGAACUGCGUUGAAGGAACUCGGCAAAUUGCACGCGUAACUUCGGAAGAAGCGUGACCCUUAUGUACGCAAGUAUGUGAGGGUGGCACAGACCAGGGGGUAGCGACUGUUUACCAAAAACACAGGGCUCUGCGAAGUCGCAAGACGACGUAUAGGGUCUGACGCCUGCCCGGUGCUGGAAGGUUAAGAGGAGAGGUGCAAGCUUUGAA